UGACUCUAUGUCUCCCUAUCUGAAUCUUUAUCUUUCUCAUUUCAUUCUGAAUUGUUUUCCUUUUUUUCUCAGUUUCUUCAUUCUGGGAUGAUUUCAUGAUGCCCAACAGUCAUAAUGAGCGGUGUUCUUUAAAGUCUCUGCCAAUGAUCUCCUGAGAUUUGGUGACUAAUACUAGCUCAGCAUUUCCUAGAAGAUCAAUUGGGACAUCCUUUCAACUGUCAGAAAUGAUAUUCAACUGCUUUGUAAGCAAGACCUUUUGUGUGGCCACAUUGGACUAUUCUUUUUGGGUGGCAGUCCCAAAAGAACCUGAAUUAUGUCCCAUCUCUCCAUGUCUACUUCUUUCUCUGCUUGUUUGGCUCUUUCUCUAAAGAGUGAAGGAAAUUAUACUGUUGGCUAUGACUUUGUGUGCUUCAAAACAUCAGGAGAAUCAGAUGAAGAAAGCAUCUUCAGCACCCAGCUCAUCUUCAGCUUAGAAGACUCAUGGGAUCUACAGAUGACUCAAAGACAAGAGGGAAACCAAAAUCAUCAGAUGACAGAGCUGGAAAAGGCACUUUAAAGGCUAGAACAUUAGUCUGAACCUAAUAAAAUGAUAA
Molecule: long non-coding RNA, 593 nt
Filed under: Monodelphis domestica (gray short-tailed opossum)
Lineage: Eukaryota; Metazoa; Chordata; Mammalia; Didelphimorphia; Didelphidae
Description: lncRNA (ENSMODG00000051239.1)
Source: RNAcentral